RNAcentral lists this ribosomal RNA (490 nucleotides) under uncultured bacterium. Its description in RNAcentral is "partial 16S ribosomal RNA". It matches the Rfam family "Bacterial small subunit ribosomal RNA", at positions 29 to 506 of the family's 1533-position model. The record is from RNAcentral.
AGUGAACGCUGGCGGUAGGCCUAACACAUGCAAGUCGAACGGCAGCACAGUAAGAGCUUGCUCUUACGGGUGCGAGUGGCGGACGGGUGAGGAAUACAUCGGAAUCUACUUUUUCGUGGGGGAUAACGUAGGGAAACUUACGCUAAUACCGCAUACGACCUACGGGUGAAAGCAGGGGAUCUUCGGACCUUGCGCGAUUGAAUGAGCCGAUGUCGGAUUAGCUAGUUGGCGGGGUAAAGGCCCACCAAGGCGACGAUCCGUAGCUGGUCUGAGAGGAUGAUCAGCCACACUGGAACUGAGACACGGUCCAGACUCCUACGGGAGGCAGCAGUGGGGAAUAUUGGACAAUGGGCGCAAGCCUGAUCCAGCCAUACCGCGUGGGUGAAGAAGGCCUUCGGGUUGUAAAGCCCUUUUGUUGGGAAAGAAAAGCAGCAGGUUAAUACCCCGCUGUUCUGACGGUACCCAAAGAAUAAGCACCGGCUAACUUCGU